GAAAAUGUGAAAAUUGCCAUGCUAUUUUAUAGAAUUGUCAUCCUCUAGAUAAAAGAAGUUUAUGGUAAGCCCCAAUAAAAAUUUCAUGCCAUAAAAAGAAAAAUGACAUCCUCUCAAUUACAAAACGGCAUCCCCUCAAUAAUAAGAAAGCCACCCUAUUAUUAAUAAAAAUGUCAUGCGCUUAGAAAUGAAAACUUUCAUGCCAUUAAAAAUAAAAAAAGACAUCCUCUCAACAUUAAAAAUGCCACCUAUUAUUAACAAAAAUUUCAUGCGCUUAGCAAUAAAAUUGUCAUGCCAUUAAAAACAAAAUGGCAUCCUCUCAAGAUUAAAAAUGUCAUCCUAUUAUUAAUUAAAAUAACAUGCAUUUAGUGAUAAAACUGACAUUCCAUUGAAAAAUGUCAUCCUCUCAAUAAUAAACGGUCGUCCCUAUUAUUAGUAAAAUGCCAUGUUGUUAAUAAAUAAUAACAAAACUGUCACAUACAAAAACAAUCUUGACUUGUGAUCAUUAGAAAAAUAAUGUUUAAAUUUUCCAUGUGACAUAGUUUCAAAAAACUGGCAUUUUAAAUUCUUUUUGAAAAAAUUCCAUGUAACAUAAUGUUGAUCCCAUGAAGACCAAGGUCGCCUGGACCCGUCGAGCGAGGGCCUCGACAACCUUGCUUUACGGGAUGGCGCCAAGACAUCUAUCUGCAAAACAAACAAACAUGCCUUCUCGAGGUGGCUUGCAAAUCUACAUCAAGAUCCAAGGAAGAAGAAACCUACCUCACAGUGGGGAGCAAGCACCUCGCCGCGGACACGCAGCUUGAGAAUGGUCGCACGCUUGCUGACUACCACAUCCAGAAGGAGUCCACACCUUCACAGUUGCUUCCCGACAACACGG
Molecule: long non-coding RNA, 877 nt
Filed under: Triticum aestivum (bread wheat)
Lineage: Eukaryota; Viridiplantae; Streptophyta; Magnoliopsida; Poales; Poaceae
Description: long non-coding RNA (TAES_LNC014468)
Source: RNAcentral